Molecule: ribosomal RNA, 468 nt
Filed under: uncultured bacterium
Lineage: Bacteria
Description: partial 16S ribosomal RNA
Rfam family: Bacterial small subunit ribosomal RNA
Source: RNAcentral
GACGAACGCUGGCGGCGUGCUUAACGCAUGCAAGUCGAACGGAAAGGCCCUGCUUUUGUGGGGUGCUCGAGUGGCGAACGGGUGAGUAACACGUGAGUAACCUGCCCUUGACUUUGGGAUAACUUCAGGAAACUGGGGCUAAUACCGGAUAGGAGCUCCUGCUGCAUGGUGGGGGUUGGAAAGUUUCGGCGGUUGGGGAUGGACUCGCGGCUUAUCAGCUUGUUGGUGGGGUAGUGGCUUACCAAGGCUUUGACGGGUAGCCGGCCUGAGAGGGUGACCGGCCACAUUGGGACUGAGAUACGGCCCAGACUCCUACGGGAGGCAGCAGUGGGGAAUACUGCACAAUGGGCGGAAGCCUGAUGCAGCAACGCCGCGUGCGGGAUGACGGCCUUCGGGUUGUAAACCGCUUUCGCCUGUGACGAAGCGUGAGUGACGGUAAUGGGUAAAGAAGCACCGGCUAACUACGUG